GGCGUGUGGGGAGGUUCAGGCAUGGCGGGCUGCAGGUCCCGAGCCCUGCCCUGCGGGAAGGCAGCCAAGGCCCGGCGAGAAAUUGAGCACAGCAGCUGCUGGCCCAGGCGUUAAACCCCUCACUGCCCGGGGCCGGCAGGGGCUCCCUGCCGCUCUGAGUGCGGGGCCCGCCAAGCCCACGCCCACCCGGAACUCCAGCUGCCCCGCAAGCGCCGCGCGCAGCCCGGGUUCCCGCCCGCAGCCCGGGUUCCCGCCCGCGCCUUUCCCUCCACACCUCCUCGCAAGCUGAGGGAGCCGGCUCCGGCUUUGGCCAGCCCAGAAAGGGGUUCCCAGAGUGCAGCGGCGGGCUGAAGGGCUCCUCAAGUGCCGCCAAAGUGGGAGCCCAGGCAGAGGAGGCGCCGAGAGCGAGCGAGGGCUGUGAGGACUGAGAGCACGCUGUCAUCUUUCAGAAGGAGGUCUUAUCUGAUGACUUUUAUUUUCUCCAUGAAGCCGGGUAUAACCAGGAGUUGCGAAGUGGUCGUAGUUGUUCAUGUCUCAAUCUGGAUCAUCUUUGCUUUUUGCUUCUGCUUUGUGCUAUCCCUCUUCCCGUACCUCAGUUCUAUCUGGAACCAUGAUCUGUGACUGCCAUGGAAAAGUGUUGGGCAGGAGGAGGCCAGCUGGGUCUUUGAAGUUGACAAUGGAGCCAGGAAUGAAAGCUGCACUUAGGAUGAGAAUUGCUUUCCCUGGAGCCAAGUCAGCAAAUGCAGUCUGGUUGUCAGAGCUGAGAGGCUUCACCAAGUCAAGUAGGGGAGGACAUCUUCACUCUGCAACUUGCCCUACUGAAUGCAGAAAGUACUGUCUACUUAGAUAAAGCCUACACUAAAAGGGAAUUGAAUCUCUGCAAAUAAGUAUGUGGAUCUAAUUUCUACCUUCCAGAUUAAAAGUAUAAUUAAAAAUGAAAACCUUUGUAGGACUAAAUUGAUUUUGCAGACAAAUCUCACUUCUUAGCUUGAGCUGACUUAUUCCCAAUCUUAAACCCUAAUUAAUAACAUACAAGAAU
This 1039-nucleotide long non-coding RNA is filed under the name Homo sapiens (human). Its description in RNAcentral is "HSALNT0172943". Lineage: Eukaryota; Metazoa; Chordata; Mammalia; Primates; Hominidae. The record is from RNAcentral.